RNA transcript from Cydia splendana, 569 nucleotides. It is a transcript of the gene named histidine-rich glycoprotein-like, with no coding region annotated. NCBI's taxonomy places the organism in Eukaryota, Metazoa, Arthropoda, Insecta, Lepidoptera, Tortricidae. The record is from RefSeq and is a predicted model, not a curated record. The transcript is spliced from 2 exons.
CUGGCUAUCAUUCAGCGACUAAACGCGAAGCACGUUAUUUGUUCCCGUGAAUUUGUUUAUCUGUGACUAAUCAACAAUUUAAAGCUAUGCCGCCGCCUCACGCAAUGCCCUGUGGGCCGCAUUGCGGUACUUACUGCGCGCCGCACUGCUAUCACCGCCGACCGCCUCCGCCGCCUCACCACCAUCCGCCACACCACCAUCCGCCGCCGCCGCCGCAUCAUCACCAUCCACCGCCGCCACCUCAUCACCAUCAGCCACCACCUCAUCACCACCCGCCACCACCCCCGCAUCAUCACCACCCGCCGCCGCCACCGUUCCACCACCCUCCGCACCACCACGGGCCGCCGCACCACUGGCGAUAGACUGUUUUGAAAAGAUCUUCAAGCUGUGAUAAAUGAUAAUGUGGAAUACUUACAUUAAGAUCUUGAAGAGUUAUUAAUUUCGAAGAUCUGUUUGUAGCGUGAUUUUAAACUGUAUUUUAUCGUGAUUCUUGAACAUUGAAGUGGAUUUUAUUAUUUACUGUGUUAGCAAUGUUUAACUUAUUACUCGUACAUUUGUUGUAUUAAACG